This 491-nucleotide ribosomal RNA is filed under the name uncultured bacterium. Its description in RNAcentral is "partial 16S ribosomal RNA". It matches the Rfam family "Bacterial small subunit ribosomal RNA", at positions 29 to 507 of the family's 1533-position model. The record is from RNAcentral.
AGUGAACGCUGGCGGUAGGCCUAACACAUGCAAGUCGAACGGCAGCACAGUAAGAGCUUGCUCUUACGGGUGGCGAGUGGCGGACGGGUGAGGAAUACAUCGGAAUCUACUUUUUCGUGGGGGAUAACGUAGGGAAACUUACGCUAAUACCGCAUACGACCUACGGGUGAAAGCAGGGGAUCUUCGGACCUUGCGCGAUUGAAUGAGCCGAUGUCGGAUUAGCUAGUUGGCGGGGUAAAGGCCCACCAAGGCGACGAUCCGUAGCUGGUCUGAGAGGAUGACAGCCAAAACUGGACUUAGGAACGGUCCAGACUCCUACGGGAGGCAGCAGUGGGGAAUAUUGGACAAUGGGCGCAAGCCUGAUCCAGCCAUACCGCGUGGGUGAAGAAGGCCUUCGGGUUGUAAAGCCCUUUUGUUGGGAAAGAAAAGCAGCAGGUUAAUACCCCGCUGUUCUGACGGUACCCAAAGAAUAAGCACCGGCUAACUUCGUG